This 1880-nucleotide long non-coding RNA is filed under the name Pelobates cultripes (western spadefoot toad). The record is from RNAcentral. Lineage: Eukaryota; Metazoa; Chordata; Amphibia; Anura; Pelobatidae.
GCAUGCACCCUUGGAUAUUGAGAUCCAAACAAAAUAUCUACCGCAGAAAAUUUAAAGAAAUAUUGACGGCCUUGAAUAAUUCAUACAUCUUGUGAGUGCACCAUUACUAUUAGGGGCCCACAUUGAUUCACGGUGUUUCCCUAUGAGUCUUUUUCGUCUCUGUUUUUACUUUUAGGUGUAUCUUGUAUUACAUACCUGUUUUUGAGGAAUCCUUAGUUACUACCUAUGAUUUAAGGGAAGUAAUUACCUUUAUUUUAACAUUUAUUGCUGCACCUGGGUGGUCUAUUGGUGUAUAUUAUAUCUGCGCUACAGACUUCCACCUCAGGUAAGACCCUCAUACUGAGGUCCUCCGGAGGCUUUUCUCUAGAGUUACCAAUAGCGAAUCUUAUUAUACGGACAUAUGAGAAUUAUGACAUACAACAUGAAGGGGCUAAAUUCCCCUGUACCCGGUCUACUUUGUCCAGGAUCUCAGGAAACACCAUACACGCGGCAGAACUCACAAAAUAUUAAACGCAAUAUCAUGCUCUCUCGGUUAACAAAUCCAAAGGUGUCUCUAUUUGCACUAGUAAGGAAAUAAAUUUUACCGUUCAAAGACAUUAUAUUGACCCACAAGGCAGAUAUAUAUAUAUAUCAUCUUACUGUAUAUUAUUGGUGAUAUUUUAUCACCAAUAAUAUACAGUAUACCCUGGUUUCUGAUAAGUCUGAAUGAUCUCUCCGCUCAAUUUUAAACAUAAUUGACGACUAUAAGCAGGGAGGCCUCAACCUUUGCGGGGAUUUAAAAUGUAUCCAAUCUGUUACCCAAGAUACCUCAGCCACCCUCAGAGGUCAUAGGAAAAAAACUUUUGGCUACUCAAUGCAAAGAAUUGUCCAAUUUACUCUCCUCCUAUGAUCUGUAUGAUAGUUGGAGAACACUAUACUGGGGAUCAAUACUAUACGUUCUAUUCCAGAGUCCACAAUACAUAUGCACUCCUGGAUCAUACUGCCUUGGCACAGCUGUCUGAUCGUAAGAUAGUGCUUAUCUCUUGGUCAGAUCAUAGCCCAAUAUUCCUUGAUCUAUUUGAUUCCAAUACAAAGGUAGGGGAACCUUGUGACUAAACAAAUCUCUAUUAGCAGACACUACAUUUACAUCCACCAUAGACAGGGAACUCAAAGAUUACUUUACCUGCAAUUCUGAGGGAACCACCUGUCAUAGUUUGGGCUGCUCAUAAGGCAGUAAUAUGAGGACUGUUCAAAAGACACUCUUCUCAAAUUAAGCGACAACACCAAGCCACUCUUUUAGACGGUUAUAAACAGAUAGCUUUACUCUCCAACCAAACUAAACAACAACCCUCAGAUCGUUUAGCUGUUCAGUUUCGGACCUUGUACGCACAACUAACUUAAAUUAACACGGCCAAAACAACUCAAUUCUUACACAAACUCUGGGUGACCUUGUACCAUAACAUCUGUAAAGCAACAAAAUUUCUUGCCUCUAGACUCCAAAGUAAACUGCAGGUGUCCAAGAUAGCUUGUAUUACUGAUUAUAGUGGAAGGAAAAUCAUAAGUCCCCAACACAUUAGUCACCAAUUUGCAAAUUUCUGCUCAAAGCUAUAUAACCUCUUGGCUGACGGUGAAACACAUAACCCAACUGACCAGGACAUCCAAGCUUAUCUCUCCAAAAUGAAUCUCCCGCUACUUGACCCUGCCCAGUUUGCAGUACUGCUCCAAUCAACUACACAUCUAAGCUCCUUGAUUUAAUCCAGAGGCUCCCUCCAGGUAAAUCCCCAGGGGAGAUGGUCUUCCCAAUUCCUAUUAUAAGAAAUUUGCAGAAAUUCCAGCUCCACACCUUCUAAAAGUCUUUUACCAAGCCACAAUCACGGUGUCACUGCCGUUGUAAACGUUAC